RNAcentral lists this ribosomal RNA (848 nucleotides) under Pirellulaceae bacterium. RNAcentral's name for it is "partial 23S ribosomal RNA". It matches the Rfam family "Bacterial large subunit ribosomal RNA", at positions 1120 to 1966 of the family's 2925-position model. Lineage: Bacteria; Pseudomonadati; Planctomycetota; Planctomycetia; Pirellulales; Pirellulaceae. The record is from RNAcentral.
CAUUUAAAAAGUGCGUAAUAGCUUACUAGCCGAGUACUUUUGUGCCGAAAAUUAGCGGGACUAAAGUUCAUUACCGAAACUAUGGAUCCUAAUCUUUUAGGAUGGUAGGGGAGCGUUCUAUGAUAGGUUGAAGCCUUACUAAAAAGAGAGGUGGACGAAAUAGAAGUGAGAAUGCCGGUAUAAGUAGCGAUAAUAUAAGUGAGAAUCUUAUUCGCCGAAAGCCUAAGGUUUCCUGGGGAAGGUAAAUCCGCCCAGGGUUAGCCGGUACCUNNNNNNNNNNGUAGACGAUGGAUAACAGGUUAAUAUUCCUGUGCUGCUAUUUAACGUUUGAGCUUGGGAGGACGUGGACACAACGAUUAGCAAACCCAGUAGACAUGGUUUGUUCAAGCUGGAGAUGCCGCUCUAGGAAAAUCCGGAGCAAUAAGGUGUCGAAAGCGAGUACGUUGGCUCUUGGCCUAGAAGUAAUCUGAGUGUCUUCCAAGAAAAGUCUCGUUAGCGAGUUAACAUGGCAACCGUACUAAAACUGACACAGGUAGGCAAGGAGAGAAUCCUAAGGCGCUCGAGAGAACCCUCGUUAAGGAAUUCGGCAAACAUACUCCGUAACUUCGGGAUAAGGAGUGCCUUUUUAACUUCGGUUAAAAAGGUCGCAGUGAAAAAGGUCCGGGCGACUGAUUACUAAAAACACAGGUCUCUGCUAAAAUGUAUAAUUGAUGUAUAGAGACUGACGCGUGCUCGAUGCCAGAAAGUUAAGGGGAUAGGUUAUUUCCUGAGCAAUCAGGAGAGAAGCUUGGAACUGAAGCUCUGGUGAAUGGCGGCUCUAACUAUGAGAGUCCUAAGGUAGCGAAGUU